This 803-nucleotide ribosomal RNA is filed under the name Streptomyces sp. Its description in RNAcentral is "bacterial SSU rRNA". It matches the Rfam family "Bacterial small subunit ribosomal RNA", at positions 67 to 883 of the family's 1533-position model. The record is from RNAcentral. Lineage: Bacteria; Bacillati; Actinomycetota; Actinomycetes; Kitasatosporales; Streptomycetaceae.
CGAUGAACCUCCUUCGGGAGGGGAUUAGUGGCGAACGGGUGAGUAACACGUGGGCAAUCUGCCCUGCACUCUGGGACAAGCCCUGGAAACGGGGUCUAAUACCGGAUACGACCUGGGAAGGCAUCUUCCCGGGUGGAAAGCUCCGGCGGUGCAGGAUGAGCCCGCGGCCUAUCAGCUUGUUGGUGGGGUAAUGGCCUACCAAGGCGACGACGGGUAGCCGGCCUGAGAGGGCGACCGGCCACACUGGGACUGAGACACGGCCCAGACUCCUACGGGAGGCAGCAGUGGGGAAUAUUGCACAAUGGGCGAAAGCCUGAUGCAGCGACGCCGCGUGAGGGAUGACGGCCUUCGGGUUGUAAACCUCUUUCAGCAGGGAAGAAGCGAAAGUGACGGUACCUGCAGAAGAAGCGCCGGCUAACUACGUGCCAGCAGCCGCGGUAAUACGUAGGGCGCAAGCGUUGUCCGGAAUUAUUGGGCGUAAAGAGCUCGUAGGCGGCUUGUCGCGUCGGAUGUGAAAGCCCGGGGCUUAACCCCGGGUCUGCAUUCGAUACGGGCAGGCUAGAGUUCGGUAGGGGAGAUCGGAAUUCCUGGUGUAGCGGUGAAAUGCGCAGAUAUCAGGAGGAACACCGGUGGCGAAGGCGGAUCUCUGGGCCGAUACUGACGCUGAGGAGCGAAAGCGUGGGGAGCGAACAGGAUUAGAUACCCUGGUAGUCCACGCCGUAAACGUUGGGCACUAGGUGUGGGCAACAUUCCACGUUGUCCGUGCCGCAGCUAACGCAUUAAGUGCCCCGCCUGGGGAGUAC